GGGGGUACGUACGGAUUUAUUGGGCGUAAGCGAGCGCAGGCGGUCUUUUAAGUCUAAUGUGAAAGCCUUCGGCUCAACCGAAGAAGUGCAUUGGAAACUGGGAGACUUGAGUGCAGAAGAGGACAGUGGAACUCCAUGUGUAGCGGUGAAAUGCGUAGAUAUAUGGAAGAACACCAGUGGCGAAGGCGGCUGUCUGGUCUGCAACUGACGCUGAGGCUCGAAAGCAUGGGUAGCGAACAGGAUUAGAUACCCUGGUAGUCCAUGCCGUAAACGAUGAUUACUAAGUGUUGGAGGGUUUCCGCCCUUCAGUGCUGCAGCUAACGCAUUAAGUAAUCCGCCUGGGGAGUACGACCGCAAGGUUGAAACUCAAAAGAAUUGACGGGGGCCCGCACAAGCGGUGGAGCAUGUGGUUUAAUUCGAAGCUACGCGAAGAACCUUACCAGGUCUUGACAUCUUCUGACAGUCUAAGAGAUUAGAGGUUCCCUUCGGGGACAGAAUGACAGGUGGUGCAUGGUUGUCGUCAGCUCGUGUCGUGAGAUGUUGGGUUAAGUCCCGCAACGAGCGCAACCCUUAUUACUAGUUGCCAGCAUUAAGUUGGGCACUCUAGUGAGACUGCCGGUGACAAACCGGAGGAAGGUGGGGACGACGUCAAAUCAUCAUGCCCCUUAUGACCUGGGCUACACACGUGCUACAAUGGAUGGUACAACGAGUCGCGAGACCGCGAGGUUAAGCUAAUCUCUUAAAACCAUUCUCAGUUCAGACUGUAGGCUGCAACUCGCCUACACGAAGUCGGAAUCGCUAGUAAUCGCGGAUCAGCAUGCCGCGCUGAAUACGCCCCCCGGGCCCUCAAA
RNAcentral lists this ribosomal RNA (851 nucleotides) under Pediococcus pentosaceus. RNAcentral describes it as "bacterial SSU rRNA". It matches the Rfam family "Bacterial small subunit ribosomal RNA", at positions 530 to 1389 of the family's 1533-position model. The record is from RNAcentral. Lineage: Bacteria; Bacillati; Bacillota; Bacilli; Lactobacillales; Lactobacillaceae.